AUGGCGGACGAUGAGUUAACUGAUAUGAUGUAUGACAUGGAGUUUGGAGAACUGAUGAAAGACUGGAUAGAAGAUUGGUCAGAUGAUGAAAAUUCAGAUCGUGGAGAUAGGUCAGAGAAUGGGAACGUAUUGGAAGAUCUUAAUGAAAACAAUGAGCAUGAUGAUGGUGAGGAAAACAACUCGGAGAUCUCGAAUGAAGAUUACAUUAGUCAGCUCAUUUCCGAAUGUCAUAAUGCGUACGACUAUUACGGUGAAUCCGACGCGGAGACAGGCCUUGAUGUCGAAUCAUUAGCUGCACCUGAUUCUGGGGAGUCGCAAUCGUCGGUCAUCAUGAGUGAGGUGAUAGAAGUUGAGGGGAAAAAGAAUGUCCAAGAUACUGCUAGUGCAGAUGAUAAGAGGGAUAUGUUCAUGCAGAUAAUACAAAUGACUUUUACGUCUCACGAGCCUGCGUAUGAUUUCUACAACAGCUAUGCUAGAGAUAAUGGUUUCAGCAUUAGAAAGAAUAGGGUCAGGUAUAGCAAAACCGAGUCACGUCACAUGCGUUAUAGGCGGUUUGUUUGUUCCAGACAAGGAAAACGUGACAGCAGGUUGCUAAUCGAGGAAGGACACAGUCGUAGGCUCAGACCCGAGACACGCUGCCACUGCGAAGCGCACCUGACCGUGAAGCUUGACCAAAAGCGUGGGGUUUGGUAUGUUGAUAGUUUUGAGGACAAGCAUAGCCAUAUCUUGGCAGGACCGGACGAGGUACCUUUUCUUUGGUCCCACAGAAAAAUCAAAGAGUACCAGAGAGCUGAGAUACUGUCCAUGGGAGCUGCAGGGAUUAGAAUUCACGACAUGAUGGAUUCCUUCAUCAGCAAACAUGUAUGGUAUGGCGGUGUUGGUUUUACCAGGCGUGAAAUAUACAACCUUUGCGCCAGGGAGAAGAGGAAGCUGCUUUCAAAAGGUGAUGCUGCCACAGUCAUAGGCAUCAUGGUCAGUAGGAAAUAG
This 987-nucleotide ribosomal RNA is filed under the name Triticum aestivum (bread wheat). RNAcentral describes it as "partial small subunit ribosomal RNA". Lineage: Eukaryota; Viridiplantae; Streptophyta; Magnoliopsida; Poales; Poaceae. The record is from RNAcentral.